GAUGAACGCUAGCUACAGGCUUAACACAUGCAAGUCGAGGGGAAACGAUAUUGGAAGCUUGCUUCCGAUAGGCGUCGACGGGCGCACGGGUGAGUAACGCGUAUCCAACCUGCCCAUCACUUGGGGAUAACCUUGCGAAAGUAAGACUAAUACCCAAUGACGUCUCUAGAAGACAUCUGAAAGAGAUUAAAGAUUUAUCGGUGAUGGAUGGGGAUGCGUCUGAUUAGCUUGUUGGCGGGGUAACGGCCCACCAAGGCGACGAUCAGUAGGGGUUCUGAGAGGAAGGUCCCCCACAUUGGAACUGAGACACGGUCCAAACUCCUACGGGAGGCAGCAGUGAGGAAUAUUGGUCAAUGGACGAGAGUCUGAACCAGCCAAGUAGCGUGCAGGAUGACGGCCCUAUGGGUUGUAAACUGCUUUUAUAAGGGAAUAAAGUGAGAGUCGUGACUCUUUUUGCAUGUACCUUAUGAAUAAGGACCGGCUAAUUUCGUGCCAGCCGCCGCGGUAA
Molecule: ribosomal RNA, 508 nt
Filed under: uncultured bacterium
Lineage: Bacteria
Description: partial 16S ribosomal RNA
Rfam family: Bacterial small subunit ribosomal RNA
Source: RNAcentral